AGAGUUUGAUCAUGGCUCAGAACGAACGCUGGCGGCGCGCCUAAUACAUGCAAGUCGAGCGAGAAGACGUAGCAAUACGUUUGUAAAGCGGCGAACGGGUGAGGAAUACAUGGGUAACCUACCCUCGAGUGGGGAAUAACUAGCCGAAAGGUUAGCUAAUACCGCGUACGCUCCUUGGACUUCGGUUCAGGGAGGAAAGCGAUACCGUGGGUAUCGCGCUCUUGGAUGGGCUCAUGUCCUAUCAGCUUGUUGGUGAGGUAACGGCUCACCAAGGCUUCGACGGGUAGCUGGUCUGAGAGGACGAUCAGCCACACUGGCACUGCGACACGGGCCAGACUCCUACGGGAGGCAGCAGUAAGGAAUAUUGCGCAAUGGGCGAAAGCCUGACGCAGCGACGCCGCGUGGGGGAUGAAGGUCUUCGGAUUGUAAACCCCUUUCGGGAGGGAAGAUGGAACGAGCAAUCGUUCGGACGGUACCUCCAGAAGCAGCCACGGCUAACUUCGUGCCAGCAGCCGCGGUAAUACGAAGGUGGCAAGCGUUGUUCGGAUUUACUGGGCGUACAGGGAGCGUAGGCGGUUCGGUAAGCCCUUUGUGAAAUCUCCAGGCUUAACCUGGAACAGUCGGAGGGGACUGCUGAGCUAGAGGACGGGAGAGGAGCGCGGAAUUCCCGGUGUAGCGGUGAAAUGCGUAGAGAUCGGGAGGAAGGCCGGUGGCGAAAGCGGCGCUCUGGAACGUUUCUGACGCUGAGGCUCGAAAGCGUGGGGAGCAAACAGGAUUAGAUACCCUGGUAGUCCACGCCUUAAACUAUGAAUACUAAGUGUCGGCGGGUUACCGCCGGUGCCGCAGCUAACGCAUUAAGUAUUCCGCCUGGGAAGUACGGCCGCAAGUUGAAACUCAAAGGAAUUGACGG
RNAcentral lists this ribosomal RNA (910 nucleotides) under uncultured bacterium. RNAcentral describes it as "bacterial SSU rRNA". It matches the Rfam family "Bacterial small subunit ribosomal RNA", at positions 8 to 916 of the family's 1533-position model. The record is from RNAcentral.